RNAcentral lists this long non-coding RNA (211 nucleotides) under Carica papaya (papaya). Its description in RNAcentral is "long non-coding RNA (CPAP_LNC000514)". The record is from RNAcentral. Lineage: Eukaryota; Viridiplantae; Streptophyta; Magnoliopsida; Brassicales; Caricaceae.
ACGGCUUAAGCCCGAAUAAGAAAAAUACCCAAAAAAACCUUUUUUUUUUUUUUCAUCUUUUCAUCUUCUUCUUAGCGCGGGGGAUUAGAGGGAGGAGGAAGGGACCUUUUGGCUACCACCUACCAACCCCUCCCCGCCCGGCGUUGUGUGUGAUGUCGUGGCUAGACAGUUGUGGUCACCUUAUUGGUCCGGUUGUAGGACCACGUCGAUC